UGAAAGUCAGGUCGGAUUAAGCCAUAGUACGGAAAAAACUAUGCUACCUGUGAGCCCCGUCCAAGGACGUUAAAAGGAGUCAGGCCAUUACAAAUGCCACAGCUUGAGUAAACUGUGCAGCCUGUAGCUCCACCUGAGAAGGUGUAAAAAAUCUGGGAGGCCACAAACCAUGGAAGCUGUACGCAUGGCGUAGUGGACUAGCGGUUAGAGGAGACCCCUCCCUUACAAAUCGCAGCAACAACGGGGGCCCAAGGUGAGAUGAAGCUGUAGUC
RNAcentral lists this long non-coding RNA (272 nucleotides) under dengue virus type 2. RNAcentral describes it as "partial sfRNA1". The stretch from base 156 to 227 matches the Rfam family "Flavivirus DB element". The record is from RNAcentral. Lineage: Riboviria; Orthornavirae; Kitrinoviricota; Flasuviricetes; Amarillovirales; Flaviviridae.